This 632-nucleotide ribosomal RNA is filed under the name Globigerinella siphonifera. RNAcentral describes it as "bacterial SSU rRNA". The stretch from base 1 to 543 matches the Rfam family "Eukaryotic small subunit ribosomal RNA", at positions 1291 to 1607 of the family's 1831-position model. The record is from RNAcentral. Lineage: Eukaryota; Foraminifera; Rotaliida; Globigerinidae.
UUCUUAGUUCGUGGAGUGAUCUGUCUGCUUAAUUGCGUUUCAAAUAUAUUUUAUUAUAUAACGAGUCUACAAAGGAGUGGUUCAUUAACAGACAAUCAUAUCUUUGAGCGUCUGGAAUCUACUCUAUUUGGCUCAAUUGAACGCAACGGACGUGAUCGCGAGUCCUUGUUGAACUUCAGUAUAUAUUGACUAUCCCCGUAGGAAGGGAUUGGCAAUAAUUGAAUGUUCGCUUUCUAUUAGGUGUGUAUAUAUAGUCUCAAAAUUGCAUGUAUUUGUAAUGGCGAGUAAUAUGUACUAUCCUAUAGGAAAACUCGGGCGACCGCUGUAAUAUUUCUCUUUAAAACAGAGGAAGAUUGCGGCAAUAACAGGUCUGUGAUGCCCUCAGAUGUCCCGGGCCGCACACGUGCUACAUUGAUUAGCGCAGUGCGCAUACUUUCAAUAUGAUACAUUAGAUUGGAUUGUUCUGUUGAGCUCCAUCUAAUACUAUCCGGCUUGAGAAGGCUGGGUAAUCAAUUGUAAGUGCUGGUUCCUCCUCCCGUUGAGCAUUUUAAUAAUGGCCUCUCUACAUCCCUAGCAAUAUGCCUAGUGCGAUUGUAGUUGAGCCUUGCCAUUUAUGCAAGUGUCAAUUCUCA